RNAcentral lists this ribosomal RNA (253 nucleotides) under uncultured bacterium. RNAcentral describes it as "partial 16S ribosomal RNA". It matches the Rfam family "Bacterial small subunit ribosomal RNA", at positions 524 to 776 of the family's 1533-position model. The record is from RNAcentral.
UACGAAGGGGGCUAGCGUUGCUCGGAAUCACUGGGCGUAAAGGGCGCGUAGGCGGCGUUUUAAGUCGGGGGUGAAAGCCUGUGGCUCAACCACAGAAUUGCCUUCGAUACUGGACGGCUCGAGACCGGAAGAGGUCAGUGGAACUGCGAGUGUAGAGGUGAAAUUCGUAGAUAUUCGCAAGAACACCGGUGGCGAAGGCGGCCAACUGGACCAUUACUGACGCUGAGGCGCGAAAGCGUGGGGAGCAAACAGG